RNAcentral lists this ribosomal RNA (672 nucleotides) under Prorocentrum minimum. RNAcentral's name for it is "LSU rRNA". It matches the Rfam family "Eukaryotic large subunit ribosomal RNA", at positions 56 to 660 of the family's 3401-position model. Lineage: Eukaryota; Dinophyceae; Prorocentrales; Prorocentraceae. The record is from RNAcentral.
AAGAACUAAAUAGGAUUCCCUCAGUAAUGGCGAAUGAACAGGGAUCAGCUCAGCAUGGAAAUUGGGGCCCUCGGCCUUGAAUUGUAGUCUCGAGAUGCAUCGCCAAUGGAGGCGCAGAUGUAAGCCUCUUGGAAAAGAGCAUCAACGAGGGUGAGAGUCCCGUUUGUCAUCUGCAGUCCCCCAUGCACGGCGUGCCUUCUAAGAGUCGCGUUCCUCGGAAUUGGAGCGUNAAUUGGGUGGUAAAUUUCAUCUCAAGCUAAAUAUUGGUUCGAGACCGAUAGCAAACAAGUACCAUGAGGGAAAGGUGAAAAGGACUUUGAAAAGAGAGUUAAAAGUGCCUGAAAUUGCUGAAAGGGAAGCGAAUGGAACCAGUGUUGCUUGGCGAGAUUGUCGUACGCAUUCGCGUGUGGUGGUUCUUGCCUUGUGUGUCAACGCCAGUUCGCGAUCGAGGAAAACUCCAGGGACAUGGUAGCCUACCCCUGGGUGGGUGAAUGUGCCUGGUAGAACUCAUUUGCGGACUGUUUCCUUCGUGUCUGGUUGCAGUGCUGCUUGAUCCUGUGUUGGCGCUUGGGGGUGGGAGCUCGCUCCUCACACCCUGCCCUUCUAAGGUUCUCAGCGCUUCCCUGACACAUAGACGAUGACUAAAUGGUUCUAUUCGACCCGUCUUGAAAC